This 86-nucleotide transfer RNA is filed under the name Vulcanisaeta sp. EB80. Its description in RNAcentral is "tRNA-Ser". It matches the Rfam family "tRNA". Rfam says of the family: Transfer RNA (tRNA) molecules are approximately 80 nucleotides in length. RNAcentral also lists the same sequence under 3 other names. The record is from RNAcentral. Lineage: Archaea; Thermoproteati; Thermoproteota; Thermoprotei; Thermoproteales; Thermoproteaceae.
GCCGGGGUGGCCGAGCUAGGUCCAAGGCGCGGGACUCGAGAUCCCGUCCCCGCAAGGGGGCCCGGGUUCAAAUCCCGGCCCCGGCA